ACGGCGGUGGCAGACAAGCAAUGCGGCGGACUCCAAACCCGCGUCAAUGUGGGGGCAGUACCCACCCGCCGUGCCA
RNAcentral lists this transfer RNA (76 nucleotides) under Verrucomicrobiaceae bacterium. RNAcentral's name for it is "tRNA-Trp". The record is from RNAcentral. Lineage: Bacteria; Pseudomonadati; Verrucomicrobiota; Verrucomicrobiia; Verrucomicrobiales; Verrucomicrobiaceae.